RNAcentral lists this ribosomal RNA (468 nucleotides) under uncultured bacterium. RNAcentral describes it as "partial 16S ribosomal RNA". It matches the Rfam family "Bacterial small subunit ribosomal RNA", at positions 28 to 507 of the family's 1533-position model. The record is from RNAcentral.
GACGAACGCUGGCGGCGUGCUUAAUACAUGCAAGUCGAACGGAAAGGCCCUGCUUUUGUGGGGUGCUCGAGUGGCGAACGGGUGAGUAACACGUGAGUAACCUGCCCUUGACUUUGGGAUAACUUUAGGAAACUGGGGCUAAUACAGGAUAGGAGCUACUGAUGCAUGGUGGGGGUUGGAAAGUUUCGGCGGUUGGGGAUGGACUAGCGGCUUAUCAGCUGGUUGGUGGGGUAGUGGAUUACAAAGGCUUUGACGGGUAGCCGGCCUUAGAGGGUGACCGGCCACAAUGGGACUGAGAUACGGCCCAGACGCCUACGGGAGGCAGCAGGCGAGAACAUGGCGCAAUGACCCGAAGCCUGUGGCAGCAACGCCGCGUGCGGGAUGACGUGCUUCUGGUUGUAAACCGCUUUCUCCUUUAACGAAGCGGUAGUGACGGUAAUGGGUAAAGAAGCACCGGCUAACUACGUG